RNAcentral lists this transfer RNA (77 nucleotides) under Puniceicoccales bacterium. RNAcentral describes it as "tRNA-Val". It matches the Rfam family "tRNA". From Rfam's summary of the family: Transfer RNA (tRNA) molecules are approximately 80 nucleotides in length. Their secondary structure includes four short double-helical elements and three loops (D, anti-codon, and T loops). Lineage: Bacteria; Pseudomonadati; Verrucomicrobiota; Opitutia; Puniceicoccales. The record is from RNAcentral.
GGGGAAUUAGCUCAGUUGGUUAGAGCACUAGCAUCACACGCUAGGGGUCGCCGGUUCGAAUCCAGCAUUCCCCACCA